Molecule: non-coding RNA, 163 nt
Filed under: zebrafish metagenome
Description: Lysine riboswitch
Rfam family: Lysine riboswitch aptamer
About the family: Riboswitches are metabolite binding domains within certain messenger RNAs that serve as precision sensors for their corresponding targets.
Source: RNAcentral
CCAGAAGAGGCGCGUUGUUCAGGGACCCGGUAAGAGGAUGACAGUAUCCGUCGACUACCGGCGAGGGGGUACAACGCCGAGGCUGCUAUUACUCUGUCGCAAUAGCAGUCGGCUGCGAGGGCUGAAUCCCUCGGGCUGUCACCUGAGGGUGAAGUGCUUCUGG